UACGUAGGGUGCAAGCGUUACUCGGAAUUACUGGGCGUAAAGCGUGCGUAGGUGGUUCGUUAAGUCUGAUGUGAAAGCCCUGGGCUCAACCUGGGAAUGGCAUUGGAAACUGGCGACCUAGAGUGCGGUAGAGGGUAGUGGAAUUCCCGGUGUAGCAGUGAAAUGCGUAGAGAUCGGGAGGAACAUCCGUGGCGAAGGCGACUACCUGGCCUGUUCUUGACGCUGAGGCGCGAAAGCUAGGGGAGCAAACGGG
Molecule: ribosomal RNA, 253 nt
Filed under: uncultured bacterium
Lineage: Bacteria
Description: partial 16S ribosomal RNA
Rfam family: Bacterial small subunit ribosomal RNA
Source: RNAcentral